UUUCCGUAGGUGAACCUGCGGAAGGAUCAUUAAAAAAUUGGACUCCAUUGGUGAGUUCAUUAAUAAUCCCUACCCUUUGUGAAUUUGUUUGUUUGAAUAAUUUUUUUCCAAAAAAAAUUAUUGAAUGUCUUUCCUUGUUUUGGUGGAGCUUGUAAAGUGAAACCAGGCAGGGGAAUGGCAAACAAUAAUUAUUUUUGAAAAAGACCUUUUUUUAAAAUUAAACUUUUUGUAUUCAUUUGUCUAAAAUUAAUUUUUAUAAUAUAAAAACAACUUUUGACAAUGGAUCUCUUGGUUCUCGCAACGAUGAAGAACGCAGCAAAAUGCGAUAAGUAGUGUGAAUUGCAGAAUACGUGAAUCAUCGAAUCUUCGAACGCAUAUUGCACUUUUUUAGUUUACUAAAAAAGUAUGUCUGUUUGAGUAUCAGUAAAAUAUUCUCAUAAAAAACAUUGUUUUUUUAUGGUUAUGAGUGUUUUACAACGAUAACAAGUUGUUUCACUUUAAAUUCUUUGUUAUCAAAAAAAUCAUUAAAAGCUAAUUUUAAAGAUUUUUUAAAAUUGGAUAAAAUUUUCCCGUAAAAAGGAAUAACCUAAACAACUUUAAAAAAUUAAAAUUGGUUUGAUUUUUUUUGAAACCCAAAGGAAAAAAAAACGAAAUUAACUUGAUCUCAAAUCAGAUAAGAGUACCCGCUGAACUUAAGCAUAUCAAUAAGCGGAGGAAAAGAAACUAACUAGGAUUCCCUCAGUAACGGCGAGUGAAGCGGGAAGAGCUCAAAUUUGAAAUCUUCAAGGUUUUACCUUGACGAAUUGUAGUUUAAAGAAGUGUUUUCUGUUGGAGUUUUGGUAAAAGUUCUUUGGAAAAGGACAUCAUAGAGGGUGAGAAUCCCGUAUUUGACCAUUAUCUCCAGCUUUGUGAUACACUUUCAAAGAGUCGGAUUGUUUGGGAAUGCAGUCCAAAAUGGGUGGUAAAUUUCAUCUAAAGCUAAAUACUGGCGAGAGACCGAUAGCGAACAAGUACCGUGAGGGAAAGAUGAAAAGAACUUUGAAAAGAGAGUUAAACAGUACGUGAAAUUGUCAAAAGGGAAGCGUUUGACACCAGUGUUGUUUUCUCGAAAAUCAAUUAAAAAAGGCCGGAUUUUGUGUUGUAUUGACUUUAUCAGCUUUCUGCACUCUUUUCUUGUCUUUUUUAAUGCACUUUUCGUUUAACAAGUCAACAUCAAUUUCUUUGUUGUAAAAGGGUCAUUGGAAGGUGGCUUUCUUUUCGGAGAAAGUGUUUAUAGCCUUUGGCCUCUGCAAUCGGAGAGAUUGAGGUCUGCAGCGUAGAUCCUUCGGGGUUAGAUACAUUUGUGCUAAGUUAUAGCCUUUCAUAGACAACUUGUUGACUAUGAUCAGUCAUGUAGCUUACUCGCUUAUGCUAUUUUACCUACGCUUAGGAUGU
Molecule: unclassified non-coding RNA, 1434 nt
Filed under: uncultured Neocallimastigales
Lineage: Eukaryota; Fungi; Neocallimastigomycota; Neocallimastigomycetes; Neocallimastigales
Description: partial contains small subunit ribosomal RNA, internal transcribed spacer 1, 5.8S ribosomal RNA, internal transcribed spacer 2, and large subunit ribosomal RNA
Rfam family: Eukaryotic large subunit ribosomal RNA (bases 660-1434)
Source: RNAcentral